CCUACGGGGGGCAGCAGUGGGGAAUAUUGCACAAUGGGCGCAAGCCUGAUGCAGCCAUGCCGCGUGUAUGAAGAAGGCCUUCGGGUUGUCAAGUACUUUCAGUCGUGAGGAAGGUGUUAAGGUUAAUAACCUUAGCAAUUGACGUUAGCGACAGAAGAAGCACCGGCUAACUCCGUGCCAGCAGCCGCGGUAAUACGGAGGGUGCGAGCGUUAAUCGGAAUUACUGGGCGUAAAGGGCACGCAGGCGGUUAAUUAAGUUGGAUGUGAAAUCCCCGGGCUUAACCUGGGAAUGGCAUUCAAGACUGGUUAGCUAGAGUCUUGUAGAGGGGGGUAGAAUUCCAUGUGUAGCGGUGAAAUGCGUAGAGAUGUGGAGGAAUACCGGUGGCGAAGGCGGCCCCCUGGACAAAGACUGACGCUCAUGUGCGAAAGCGUGGGGAGCAAACAGGAUUAGAUACCCCUGUAGUC
Molecule: ribosomal RNA, 465 nt
Filed under: uncultured Arsenophonus sp.
Lineage: Bacteria; Pseudomonadati; Pseudomonadota; Gammaproteobacteria; Enterobacterales; Morganellaceae
Description: bacterial SSU rRNA
Rfam family: Bacterial small subunit ribosomal RNA
Source: RNAcentral